UUCUUUGCCUACUAGGAAGCUGGCUACCUGUAUGGAAAGCCUGUUUGAUGUGUAGUACAGACCAAUAAUAAGAUCAGGAGAACCAAUGGGAGUGAAGCAGCACCAUUCCUCUCGAAAAAGAGCCGCUUUCCUUGGUGCAGUAGACAAAUGCAGAUUUUGCCGAUUUGAUCGUAAUUCAUUUAAGUAAGGUGGUGACCUGUCCCAAUGGAUCUUCCAGUGACCUGACCAAAAUAGUGUCCAAAAUUAGAGCCAUUGAAGCAGGCUGUCGUGGAAGACAGAGCAGCAGCUGGAGAAUAUGUGGGGAAGAUGGAUAUCAAGAUCACAAAAGCAGAGAAAAUCCAAAAUACUUACCUCAGAAUGUGAGACCAUCUGCACAUAAAAAAAACUGGAAGCCUCUUUCGAUGGCCUUGACCACACCACUUUUUUGAGACUUUCUAAUUACAUCCAAUGAUUCAGCUGUUCUUUCUUUCUUUCUUUCUUUCUUUCUUUCUUUCUUUCAAGAACACAUCACCACUACUAUUUUUAUUCAUUAUUAUCAAUAUUAAGGACAAGCAUGAUUUCCAGUGUGAUAUUGUUCUUAUACAUCAGAUCAAUAAAUAUAAAGUAAAUAUUAAGUAACUUACAUUUAAAUACAAUAUUGCAAUGCACUUACUUUGUCUAUUUUUGCUUCCAAACAAAAAUAGUUCCAA
This is a long non-coding RNA of Ctenopharyngodon idella (grass carp), 689 nucleotides long. RefSeq lists it as uncharacterized. The transcript is spliced from 3 exons. NCBI's taxonomy places the organism in Eukaryota, Metazoa, Chordata, Actinopteri, Cypriniformes, Xenocyprididae. The record is from RefSeq and is a predicted model, not a curated record.